CCCCCCCACCCCCCAGGGGUCGCUGUGCCACCCAUGCCCCGCACAAGGACGUGGGAUGCAUUCAUCAACACGCCAGUGACCGAAACCCAAAGGUUGCAGGUUCGAUUCCCAGGCAAGGCUAAAAGCCCGGAAGGUUGAAAGCGCGGAACAAACUCGAGACUGAAAAUGGCUGCAGUACAGGCCUGGCAGGACAUCACCUGCUGUCCAUACCGGCACAUCCUUCUCAGUGGAGCUGAGGCUCUGGGGAGCAAGGUCUGUGGUUUUCUUUUCUUCUUUUUUUUUGUUACUCCUGGAAGGCUACUGAGCCUUUUCAUUGAAUGAAAGGCCGGUGGAAUUACUGAAUAACUGCUGCUGUCGCCAUCAUCAUCGGGGUGCUAUUGCAGGUGCAUAAGGUUUCCCAGUCUCUGGCCUGUCACUGUGUCACCCCCAAUAGAGUAAAAUGAAAAAACAAAUCCCGAUGUAUUAUUUAAUAUGUACUGUAAGAGAUCGACAAUGCAUGUCCACAAUGUGGACCCGGGUCAAAUGCGUAUUUGAUUUGGAUUCAAAUACUUUUCUACGCUUUACCGAUCUUGUCUGGUGUAUUGGAACCAGUGAAAUACUCUCAUGCAAUGCAAAAAAAAAUGCAUUGCAUGAGAGUAUAAAAGUGCAAAACCCUGUCUUCUGGUCAUAUUGGCAGGCUCAAUUGCACCAGGCAAGACCAACAGAGCACAGAAAAGUAUUUGAAUCCAAAACAAAUACGUAUGUGGCCCAGGUGUGGUUGGAUCAGCUACAGGGCAGCAUCAGCAUUGAGAUCAGGGUGGGGGAAAGAUGUGGCAGCCCUGGGUCCAUGAAGGAAUAUAGGACAUAUAAAAUUAGACAUUAAAAUAAGAGAGAGAUAAAAGGGAUUCUGGCAUAUGGCAAUAAAACCUUAUUUCACAGUGCUCUGGGCCCCAUCUGCAAUCCAAUCAGCAGUCCUGAAAUAGAAGGUCUGAGGACAGGAGGGAGAGACAGAAAGAAGGAGGGAAGGAUGGAUGGAUGGAUGGAUGGGCUCUAGGCCUCCUGAGGAAGGAGUGAUACACCACCUGACUGGGACUCGCAACAUCCCUCUCUUUUUUUAGGACAUGGAUCAGCAGACCAGCAGCAAUCACCUGCCACAGCCCUCAGCAGCCUCUCUUUACACACACACACACACACACACUCACACACACUCUCACACACACACACUCACACACACUCUCACACACACACACACACCCACACACACACACACUCUCACACACACACACACACACACACACACACACACACACACACACACUCUCACACACACACACACACACACGCGUGUCUAUCUUUAGCAGUAGAGGAGAAUCACACACACACACACACACAGGCAUGCAAGCACACACACACAUACACACACACACUCUCACACACACACGCACACCCACACACACAUACACACAUGUCUAUCUUUAGCAGUAGAGGAGAAUCACACACACACGCACACCCACACACAUACAUGCGUGUCUAUCUUUAGCAGUAGAGGAGAAUCACACACACACACACACAGGCAUGCAAGCACAGACACCCACACAGGCACGCAAGCACACACACACACACAUGGAGACACGCAGGCGCACGCACACACACAUGCAGACACACACACACACAAAUCUAAUGUUGAUAGGAUAAAUAUUUCCUCUUGUGACCCACUUCCAUUUUCCCAAAGCAUUCACUCAUUCUUGAAAUAUUUACAGAGGGAAUUUGAUACAUUUAUGGUGUGGGAUGGCAUGUUUUACUAUCUUUUUAAUAAACCUGCUCAAAUCAA
This is a long non-coding RNA of Anguilla rostrata (American eel), 1810 nucleotides long. RefSeq lists it as uncharacterized. Lineage: Eukaryota; Metazoa; Chordata; Actinopteri; Anguilliformes; Anguillidae. The record is from RefSeq and is a predicted model, not a curated record. The transcript has 3 exons.